RNAcentral lists this transfer RNA (72 nucleotides) under Arcanobacterium haemolyticum. Its description in RNAcentral is "tRNA-Gly(tcc)". It matches the Rfam family "tRNA". From Rfam's summary of the family: Transfer RNA (tRNA) molecules are approximately 80 nucleotides in length. Their secondary structure includes four short double-helical elements and three loops (D, anti-codon, and T loops). Lineage: Bacteria; Bacillati; Actinomycetota; Actinomycetes; Actinomycetales; Actinomycetaceae. The record is from RNAcentral.
GCGAGUGUAGCUUAAUGGUAAAGCCUCUGCCUUCCAAGCAGAUGACGCGAGUUCGAUUCUCGUCACUCGCUC